GACAAAUGACCAUUUGACACUAACUUGGUCAACGGUGAUCCCUAAUAACAUUGAGGGAGUUCUCAUUACUUUCUUUGUCUUUGUUUUAUAUUUUCAAUUUUUUUUUUCAUUUGAAUAAAAUGGUAGACUUAGAUAAAAUAUUCUUUGGAUCAUUACAUUAAUUAAAAUUCUAUCUAGGACAUUGGAACUUAAGUGGGACCAUCUGUGACCCCUCCUAUCUUUC
Molecule: long non-coding RNA, 223 nt
Filed under: Gossypium barbadense (sea-island cotton)
Lineage: Eukaryota; Viridiplantae; Streptophyta; Magnoliopsida; Malvales; Malvaceae
Description: long non-coding RNA (GBAR_LNC006266)
Source: RNAcentral